Molecule: long non-coding RNA, 3150 nt
Organism: Apodemus sylvaticus (European woodmouse)
Lineage: Eukaryota; Metazoa; Chordata; Mammalia; Rodentia; Muridae
Exons: 2
Source: RefSeq, a predicted model, not a curated record
UGGUGGAUGCGUGGGGAAGCCAAGAAGGCCAGCUCCGUGGUGCUGAGAGCUCCGACGCCAUCCCUGAGGCCACGCAGGGGGACGCGAUGCUCUGGCCAUCAUCCUAGCAGACAGCUUGGGAGUGAGUCACUCCAGGUCUCUACAGAGUGACCACAAGCACAUAUACUACAAGGAACAACUUAGACCCGAUUCAAAUUCAUAAAGAGCCAUCAUUUUCUGAUUGGUGUAUCAUUUCUUGUGAGAAGUCUCAUUCCUCUUGGUAUAUUAUGCAUAUGCAUAGAAGUUUCUGGAAGGUAGACUUCAUCCCACCCUGAUGUGAUGGUGAGGAAUCAGUCAGGUGAGGUUAGUGGACUCUCUUGGAGCCAUGGCAUGGCCCCGGGUGAGAUUCUCAGCCCUGUUCAGGAGUCAUUCACUGGGUCUGUGUGGCAAGAACAACUCAUGCAGAGGGAGCAGCAGUGCCUGGUUUUUGCCAGGUAGGCAAGUGGGGAGAACCACAAGUAAUGACUGACCUUAAAGCAUUUUCACCCCCACUUUAGCUUGUUCAGGUGACUUUGACGGGUGGGAAGGGCAGCACACUCACACUGCACGUCAGUUUGGGAAUAGCAGUGUUCUUGUGAAGAGAAGGCCUUUGUGCAGCCCAAAGAGGUCUCACUGUGGAGCUCUGGCUGUCCUGGGGCUCCCUCGGUAGACCAAGCUGGCCUCAGACUCAGAGAGGAGCCUGCCUCUGCCUCCUGGGUGCUAGGAUUCACCACAGUCAGCUCAGGUGCCCUUUUAAAGCAUCCCCAACUAGGACAACUAAAGCCCGGGAUGCUUGUAACUUAUCUUCAAGUCACAGAGUGAAAGCUCUUGUUCCUUAAAGUGUAAUGCACUCUCCUCGCGCCUCCUGAGCAUGGCUCAGGAAGUGUGGCCUGUCAGUGCCUCCUGCCUUUGUCAGCGUGGGGAUUUCCCUGUUGGUAACAUCUGCCCCAUCCAACUGGAAAAAUGUUUGAGUCAGUUUAGCCUUACUGAUCCUGUGAUACUUUUCUUUUUAGUUAUGUGUGCAUGUGUUUGCCUGGAUGUGAGUUCAGGAGCCUGCUAGAACUAGAAGAGAGCCUCGGAUCCUCUGGAACUGGACUUACCGACAGCUGUGAGCCACCUAUUGGGGGUGCUAGGAAGUUAACUCAGUUCCUCUGCAAGAGCACUCUACUCUGAACUGCUGAGCCAUCUCUCCACCCCUCUCACGAUGGGCUCUUUUACUUAGGUUACAUGUGGGAAUGUAAAGGUUAGCAGGAGGGAAUGAGAAAGGACUAAAUUAUACAAAGUCUCCACACCUUUUCUCGUAGGCACAGUGCUGUGUGCUGGCGACUCCGUGGAGCAUGCUGUUGUGAGUAGGCGCGUUGCAGUUUGGAGUCAUUUCCUUUCUGUGAAGUGAGAUUUGCAGGUCUGCAGAACUCCCGGGUUUUCUGCUGACGACUCGCCUUGGAAAGCAAUAAGCGCUGAGCUGUUGUCCAUCAGCCACAGACUAGGCCUCAGGACCGAGUAACCAGGGGUUUCCAUCCCACCUGAGAUUGUUUAGUUCCAAAAUAACACAAAACAUAAACCUUAAAGCAUGGGGCUGGGCAGAAAUCAACCGCCUGUGCCAUUUUGUCUCUUUCCCUGUCAAUAAUUCCAAGAUAUGACUUACCAUGUUCUAUCUGGGCUGCCCCUAUUCCAACAGGCCAGCCCUCAUGGCCACGAGCUCACAAUCUACCUACCCCAUAGUGCCUUCUCACCCCCUCCCAGGCUUCUGCUUCAGACCCCAAGCCCUGGAACAGAAGCCCCGCCUACCUCUCUUCUGCCCAGCUAAGGGCUGUAGGCAUCGUUUUUUGUUUUUUUUGUUUUGUUUUUUUUUUUUUCCAACCAGUAGUUUUUAAUUAUGCAGCACCUUUUGGGCAGCAAAGUUAAAGCAAUCUCUCGCAUUUCAGCUGUGGAUAAAAUGCCUGGAGAAGACAGAAUCUCCCCAGUGAAGGGGGAUUUCGCAGUGGUUAUGCAGAGGAAUAAUGGGUUCUGCUGGCUGUGUGGGGGAAGCAGCCCCCCAAACUAUGACCUGUCUUCAACACAUUUUCUUCAAGCCCCCUGCUGUAUGGCAGUGGUUCUCAGUCUCUAGGUUAAGACUGCUUCGGGGUCAAAUAACCUUUCCAUAGGGGUUACUUAAGACCAUUGGAAAACAGAUAAAUAUCUGUUUCAUAACAAGAGCAAAAUUACAGUUAUGAAGUAGCAACAAAAAUAAUUUUAUGGUUGGGACUCACCAUAACAUGAGGAACUGUAUUAAGGGGUUACAGCAUUAGUCAGGUUGAGAACCACUGUGAGAUGGGUAAGGGAACUGAGAGGGACUCAGGGAUGGGGUUAGUGGGAUUUAUUACCUUUUCAGUAUGCUAAAAAUGAUAUUAUUGGUAGGGUUCAUGAAUGUAUACUGUUAUCAGGAGACAGUCUUUGGCAAACCAGAGAAAAAGAACUUCUUUUGAAGCAGAACUCUCCAUUUCGAAACAGCAGUCAGAAAGAAGUCGUCAUGCUUACGCCCAGAGCCAAGCCUCUGCACAGCUGUUCACAGGAACGACACAGAGGAUGCGCACAAAGAGCUGACCCAGCAGUGCACAAAACAGCGUGCCCAAGAUGUCUGCUGUCCCUCACGUGUUGUGUUUUGUUUUAUCGUCUUUGUGUUUUUAAGAUAGAGUUUCUGCGUAGCCUUGGCUGCCCUGGAAUUCAUAUCAGGCUGACCUCCAACUCAGAGAACUGCCUGCCUCCGCCUCCUGGGUGCUGGUAUUAAAAGUGUGAACCAUAGCUCACAAACUGCCUUCCAAGCUGUUGGUCUGAAGGUGACUAAGAGAGCACACACUGGGGCAAAAUAAGAUACACCACCACCACCAACAACAACAACAAAAUCGCAUCUCUUCCAUACCGCCCCAUGGAUUUUUUAUUUCAAGAAUGUGGAGUCUGUUACUAGAGUUAAGACUCUUCCCUCAGUGGGAUCUCCUCUGUUGAUUUUGGAAAUAGGAAAGAGAUUUUCUGUUCCUUUUCUGGUAAUGUCUACACUCUGGCUAGAAACAGACUUGCCCUAGCCCAAGUAUAUGAUAUAGGCAUGGAAUUUUAUUUAUCUCUACCCCAGUAAGAAUAAAAGAUUAGAAAAUGUUA